GCUCCUGUGGUGUAGUCCGGCCAAGCAUAUUGGCUUCUCAAGCCAAUGAUCUCGGGUUCAAAUCCCGACGGGAGCA
RNAcentral lists this transfer RNA (76 nucleotides) under Nitrososphaerota archaeon. RNAcentral describes it as "Thaumarchaeota archaeon (marine metagenome) tRNA-Glu". It matches the Rfam family "tRNA". From Rfam's summary of the family: Transfer RNA (tRNA) molecules are approximately 80 nucleotides in length. Lineage: Archaea; Thermoproteati; Nitrososphaerota. The record is from RNAcentral. RNAcentral also lists the same sequence under 8 other names.